Long non-coding RNA from Labrus mixtus (cuckoo wrasse), 2034 nucleotides. RefSeq lists it as uncharacterized. The transcript has 4 exons. NCBI's taxonomy places the organism in Eukaryota, Metazoa, Chordata, Actinopteri, Labriformes, Labridae. The record is from RefSeq and is a predicted model, not a curated record.
CCCCGAUGCACUGUGGGAAGUGCACACGCAGCAGGUUUCAGUCCCCGAUAACCUGCCAGCGUGGGAGGAUAUAAAUAACAACAAGCUUCACGCUGAUCCUGGCACUGCCUCAUCCUCUUCAGGCCAACAUACUCAACAUACUGACCGACCACGACCUCAGGGAACCAACCCAACACCAGGAUUGAGCUGGACAGAAGGGUCCUUCUUACCUGAAAAGAGCGGCGAGGUUUCCUAGUGUGUAGAAGACGGCGAAAAGCUUGACUCCACCUGGAAGGAAGAGCAGAGCUGUGCCCUGGUGAAACAGGAAAACAGUCUCUGUCAGCUUCACAGCAUCAUAACUUAAAUGGCCAUACUCAAACGCAUCACAACCACAGCUGCCAGAAUAACAGAACUCAACAACAGGGCUAUGACGCAGACUGCAACCUCAACAGAACAGGACAUCACACACAUGCACAACACAUCCACCUCGCGCCACAGAGACGGAGGUACAGAGCAGUGAGGUGCAGAAGAGUCGCUUUGUGAGGAGCCUGAUCCCUGCUGCCCUGAACAAAAGGCCCCGCUGAACAGAACAGAGUGUGGACUUCUGUUGUGUGACGUUGUUUGUUUUACUGAGUGUUCUGUGUGUGUACUCUUCUUUGGUGGGUAUUGUCUGUUGGACAGAAACGGUGCUGUGAAAAGGAAUUUCCCCAUAACGACCAUAAAGUCGAAAGUCUCUUUUUUUUGUGAUUGCCUUAAAUCUGCAAAAAUUAUUUUUUUUUUUUUUAAAUUAUUUAUAUUGUUAUGUUAUAAUUCUGUCUCCUCAAAAACAAAGUAGAGCUCUGUUACCAACCGGAAACCUCCAGUGUUAAAAAAUGAAGCCAAUGCUGAAGUUCAAAAUCCUGCAGUUCCUCAACUGUCCACUAGAGGCUGGCACCAAGAGAACCAGAAGUUACAUACACACCCAUUGAAAAUAGUGCGACUUUAUAGCAGAAAUUAACAUCUUUACAGCCUGGUAGAAAAACCGAAAUAUGUCUGAUUAGCCCAGGGGGGUCGGUUUUUUAAAAGCUGAUCUGUUUAGAUUUUAUGAAAGAUAAGAGUUAUUCACAAUGAGGCGUGUAGCUGAUGUGAUUGACAGGUGGGCGGGGUGUAACGGUUUGUGAAGAGGCUUAAAACCCGCCUCAGCUCCAGCUCUGAGCCUGUCAUAUUUACAAUCUAUGUCUGUUAUAUUAUUAUCACUUAAGUCACAUUUUUCUACAUCUUGGACUACCUUCUUCUCUGGAAUAUUUAACUUUGUUUUACCUCUAUCUGUGACACUGGGUCUUAAACAUAUUUUUGUUAAUCAUCCUCAACUUCAGACACUAAAGCAGUGACGUACAAUUCACAGGAGUGUAAUUGUAGUAGAACUGUGCAUCUUCACUGGUCUUACGAUUCGAUUGCGAUUAUCCAGUCAACGAUUCGAUUCGAUAUCACGAUGCAUCGCGAUUCAUCCUCAAUUUUCUAUUUUACUGCACAUGGCUACUUUUUCAUAAACAGAGACAAACAGUCUUAUAAAUAUUAACUCCUUUUGUAUAAUUUAAAAAGUGCUUUAGACAACAAUGUCAUUAUCAAUAUCUUUACAUUGUAAGUUAAAAUUAAUACAUUAUAAAGGUAGCCUACAGUAUAAGUAAAAAGUAGGCUAUACAUGUUUGUGUGUUUAGUUUAUUAUCAGAGAGAACAAUGUUUUUAAGUCUCUGUGUGUUCUCUUCUCAGGACGUUGUAGUCUUUAGCUGUGAGCUUUGUUCAGGGUUAGUUUUGUUUCUGUCCUUUUUAUUUCAGACAGUUGUGUUACACCCCAUUUCCUGAUAUGGAUGUUUCACAUUAAAAGCACUUCAACUUCAGAUAGGCCGGGGACUUUUAUUGUGAAGAACUUGUCAGAAGUAGAAAGUGUUUAUCAUUGAACGAACGCAGCUUUAGCGGAGGUGGCGCUGUGUCGGGAGUCUACUGUGUUUACAGCCGCUCACUUUAUCACGAGUCACCACCACAGCCCCCUUCUUUUAGUUAUCCUGGACUUAAGAC